Molecule: ribosomal RNA, 598 nt
Filed under: uncultured Bacillota bacterium
Lineage: Bacteria; Bacillati; Bacillota
Description: bacterial SSU rRNA
Rfam family: Bacterial small subunit ribosomal RNA
Source: RNAcentral
CAGGAUGAACGCUAGCGGCAGGCUUAACACAUGCAAGUCGAGGGGCAGCGCGGGGCAGCAAUGUUCUGGCGGCGACCGGCGGAAGGGUGCGUAACGCGUGAGCGACAUGCCCGUUGCCCGGGGACAACCGGUGGAAACGCCGACUAAUCCCCGAUGGGACGGAGGCCCUCAUGGGUCUCCGUUGAAAGUUACGGCGGCGACGGAUUGGCUCGCGUCCGAUUAGCUUGUUGGCGGGGUAACGGCCCACCAAGGCUACGAUCGGUAGGGGUUCUGAGAGGAAGGUCCCCCACAAUGGAACUGAGACACGGUCCAUACUCCUACGGGAGGCAGCAGUGAGGAAUAUUGGUCAAUGGGCGGAAGCCUGAACCAGCCAUGCCGCGUGCGGGAAGGAGGCCCUAUGGGCUGUGAACCGCUUUUGCCUGGGGGCAAUAAGGGCGUCGUGCACGUCCGAUGAGAGUACCAGGCGAAUAAGCAUCGGCUAACUCCGUGCCAGCAGCCGCGGUAAUACGGGGGAUGCGAGCGUUAUCCGGAUUCAUUGGGUUUAAAGGGUGCGUAGGCUGUGCGUCAAGUCAGGGGUGAAAUUCCGGGGCUCAACUCC